RNAcentral lists this ribosomal RNA (831 nucleotides) under uncultured bacterium. RNAcentral's name for it is "bacterial SSU rRNA". It matches the Rfam family "Bacterial small subunit ribosomal RNA", at positions 70 to 916 of the family's 1533-position model. The record is from RNAcentral.
AAGCCUUGAUUUCGGUUGAGGCGGAGAGUGGCGAACGGGUGAGUAACGCGUUGGUGACCUGCCCUUGAGAGGGGGACAACCAGUGGAAACGCUGGCUAAUACCCCAGAUGUUUAAUUGGCUAGAAAGAUUAAACUAAAGCUCCGGCGCUCAAGGAGGGGCCAGCGUCCCAUCAGCUAGUUGGUGCGGUAACGGCGUACCAAGGCGAAGACGGGUAGGGGGCGUGAGAGCGUGGCCCCCCACACUGGUACUGGGACACGGACCAGAUACCUACGGGUAGCAGCAGCAAGGAAUAUUGCGCAAUGGGGGAAACCCUGACGCAGCAACGCCGCGUGGAGGAAGAAGGCCUUCGGGUCGUAAACUCCUUUUCUGAGGGAUGAGGAAGGACAGUACCUCAGGAAUAAGGCCCGGCUAACUACGUGCCAGCAGCCGCGGUAAAACGUAGGGGCCAAGCGUUAUCCGGAUUUACUGGGCGUAAAGCGCAUGUAGGCGGUUAAAUAAGUUGGACGUGAAAGCUCCCGGCUCAACUGGGAGAGGCCGUUCAAAACUGUUUGACUCGAGGGUGGUAGAGGCGAGUGGAGUUCCCGGUGUAGUGGUGAAAUGCGUAGAUAUCGGGAGGAACACCAGUGGCGAAAGCGGCUCGCUGGGCCAACCCUGACGCUGAGAUGCGAAAGCUAGGGGAGAGAACGGGAUUAGAAACCCCGGUAUUCCUAGCCGUAAACGAUGUCAACUAGGUGUAGGAGGUUAUUGACCCCUUCUGUGCUGAAGCAAACGCGAUAAGUUGACCGCCUGGGGAUUACGGCCGCAAGGCUAAAACUCAAAGGAAUUGACGG